RNAcentral lists this long non-coding RNA (498 nucleotides) under Oryza sativa Indica Group (long-grained rice). RNAcentral's name for it is "lncRNA OsMH63_02G018900". RNAcentral also lists the same sequence under 2 other names. Lineage: Eukaryota; Viridiplantae; Streptophyta; Magnoliopsida; Poales; Poaceae. The record is from RNAcentral.
AUGGUGAAUUUGCUGAUAUUUUACCACCUGAUGAUGAUUUGCCACAUGGUGAGGGGCCUGUCGAUCCAAAUGUUGAGGAUGCACCAGCCUGGCAGUUUGGAAAUGAACAGCAGUAGCAUAAUCAGCAGAAUCCAAAUUGGGGAGCUUGGGAGGAUAAUCAGGGAGUUGUUGAUUGAUUUGCAAGCAAGCUCUGCAAGCUCUGUAUCUACCUACCCUUCUGCUAGCUCUGCAAGUAUUGCGGAUUUGGCAGUCAGCAUAUCUACUGAUGAACAGGCUUUAACCUCUCCAGACAAGAGUAUUGUGGUUCAUAAGGAUUCUGUUCAUGCUGACUUAUAUAAUUAUCUUUGUGAGAGGUUUCCCCAUAUCAUGUUUGAUAAACACUUUACUCAAGAUUCUUCCUUUUGGGCUGCUCUCAGUAUUGGACCAUAUAUGCCUGGUGAAUCAUCUUCUUCUGGGCAGCAUCUGGGCUAUAGUCAGGGAAUGGAAUCGGAAUUGCCA